CAAACUGGAGAUGGCGACCGGCGCACGGGUGAGUAACACGUAUCCAACCUGCCGAUAACUCGGGGAUAGCCUUUCGAAAGAAAGAUUAAUACCCGAUGGCAUAAUAGAACCGCAUGGUUUGAUUAUUAAAGAAUUUCGGUUAUCGAUGGGGAUGCGUUCCAUUAGUUUGUUGGCGGGGUAACGGCCCACCAAGACUACGAUGGAUAGGGGUUCUGAGAGGAAGGUCCCCCACAUUGGAACUGAGACACGGUCCAAACUCCUACGGGAGGCAGCAUG
This 276-nucleotide ribosomal RNA is filed under the name uncultured bacterium. Its description in RNAcentral is "partial 16S ribosomal RNA". It matches the Rfam family "Bacterial small subunit ribosomal RNA", at positions 77 to 353 of the family's 1533-position model. The record is from RNAcentral.